Molecule: long non-coding RNA, 1007 nt
Filed under: Fukomys damarensis (Damara mole-rat)
Lineage: Eukaryota; Metazoa; Chordata; Mammalia; Rodentia; Bathyergidae
Description: lncRNA (ENSFDAG00000024227.1)
Source: RNAcentral
UGGUGGUAGGCAGGGGCAUAAGGACAAAAACUAUGAGAAGAGGGAAGAGCGGUAAACAGCAACAAAUCAACCUCUCUGUGAUUCAGAAUCUGGACACUGGAAAAUAGCAUCUUAGGGAAGAAAAGAAGGAAGGAGGUGGAUCCCUGGGACCCAGGAAAGAUCUGAAGGGUAAAUAGGAGGCCACAGAAAAAGUGAAGAGACAGACCUCAAUGCAGAAAAAGGAGGGGGCAGUCUGCAUUUUCUCCCAGGCCCCUGGCUCAUAGCUUGAGAGAGGAGGCUCAAAUCUAGAGACACAGUGAGGGCUGGUGACUCCAGAGGCCUCCAGGGAGAAGUGCACCAGUGGAGCAGAGUAGUGGAUGCAGUGCACUAUAAAGGCUGCUGAGUGACUCCAAUCCAAGCAACUGCUGUGUGCUUGGAGAAGGUGCUUGGUAAGAUGCCAUUUUAAGGAGGGGCCAACUAAACCCAGGAGCAGUGGUGGGUAGACUUCAUCUCAGAACUCCCAGUGUUCAAAUCCCACAGAGAUUGGGUGAGGGACAACUGCAAGAGAAAUCCAGGGUCAGGGAGCCAUGUUCAGGCUGGCAAGAGACACCCAGAGUGUUGUAGACUGAACAACUCUGGCCCAAACCCCACAACCAGAGGCAAAGAUCAUCCUGAACUGUGGAUCUGAACGUACCAGAACUGACAUCCUGUCCUAAUCCUACUGCAAGCUUGCUGGGAUUAUCCAACAUGGAUCUGGCUUCUAACUGCUCCCUUUGUCUCCCAGCAAGAGCAGAGUCGUAUCCUGAAUUGGACACUACCACAAAACUGUGGACAUCAGAAGAAGCUGAGCAGCAGAUGAUCUCCUCAUGAGGCUACAGAGGUCUGGGGUCAAGCUCUCCUCUUUGUUCAUCAUUUUCUUCAAAUCCAAGAAAACUAUUCUUACAUUCCUGUUAAAUUGGAGAGUAUGGAGCUCCCUGGAACGAAACCUGAUUAAAACUCCAGCUGGGAGUGGAGAAAGCUUCAGCUAA